RNAcentral lists this transfer RNA (62 nucleotides) under Camelus bactrianus (Bactrian camel). It matches the Rfam family "tRNA", at positions 6 to 65 of the family's 71-position model. Rfam says of the family: Transfer RNA (tRNA) molecules are approximately 80 nucleotides in length. Their secondary structure includes four short double-helical elements and three loops (D, anti-codon, and T loops). The record is from Rfam by way of RNAcentral. Lineage: Eukaryota; Metazoa; Chordata; Mammalia; Artiodactyla; Camelidae. RNAcentral also lists the same sequence under 1 other name.
UGUAGCUCAAAUGGUAGAGCGCAAGCCUAGCAUGCAUGAGGUCCUGGGUUCAAUCCCCAGUA